Molecule: transfer RNA, 72 nt
Filed under: Neotoma lepida (desert woodrat)
Lineage: Eukaryota; Metazoa; Chordata; Mammalia; Rodentia; Cricetidae
Rfam family: tRNA
About the family: Transfer RNA (tRNA) molecules are approximately 80 nucleotides in length. Their secondary structure includes four short double-helical elements and three loops (D, anti-codon, and T loops).
Source: Rfam by way of RNAcentral
CUUGAUAGAGCUUAGUGGUAGAGCACAUUCCUAGCAUGCGUGAGGUCCUAGGUUCAAACCCUCGUAAUAAAA